Molecule: ribosomal RNA, 219 nt
Filed under: Anaplasma phagocytophilum
Lineage: Bacteria; Pseudomonadati; Pseudomonadota; Alphaproteobacteria; Rickettsiales; Anaplasmataceae
Description: partial 16S ribosomal RNA
Rfam family: Bacterial small subunit ribosomal RNA
Source: RNAcentral
CAUGUAGGCGGUUCGGUAAGUUAAAGGUGAAAUGCCGGGCUUAACCCUGGAGCUGCUUUUAAUACUGCCAGACUCGAGUCCGGGAGAGGAUAGCGGAAUUCCUAGUGUAGAGGUGAAAUUCGUAGAUAUUAGGAGGAACACCAGUGGCGAAGGCGGCUAUCUGGUCCGGUACUGACGCUGAGGUGCGAAAGCGUGGGGAGCAAACAGGAUUAGAUACCC